Vicia villosa (hairy vetch) is the source of this 1021-nucleotide long non-coding RNA. RefSeq lists it as uncharacterized. NCBI's taxonomy places the organism in Eukaryota, Viridiplantae, Streptophyta, Magnoliopsida, Fabales, Fabaceae. The record is from RefSeq and is a predicted model, not a curated record. The transcript is spliced from 5 exons.
UUUUCUUCUCCCUCUUUAUGUUUUCCCUCAUUCACUCUCUUCAUCCCUCCAUAUUUUGUUUUCCUCUAUCAUUUUCCUUUUUCCACAAAUUUUGUUUGUUCACACUGUUUCCUCCAUAGAAGAAAUGAUAUACUUGAAAAGAAGGGUCUCAAAUCCCCAUUUUAUUUAACGAUUGGAACCACUAUUGUUGGUUUAAUUUUUCAGAUCUGAAUAAUAAUGGUUUUAAUUUUUGUUUUAUGUUGCUUUCUCAAGUAUUUUCUUUGACUCAUUUGUUUUCAAUAAAAUGACAGAAUCUAUUUGUGAGAACAGGAAGAUAAAGAAGGAAGAGUAUGAAGUUUGAGAAAGCGUGUCUGGGGGGAAGGAAAGGAGAAGGACCAAGGAAGAAAGCUAUGACCAGAUCCGUCAGAUUCAGACUUCAAUUUCCCGUCGGAAAAUUUGGUCGUUACUUUAAGAAAGGUCCGGUUUGAAUGUGUAUUUGGACUCAUAAGCUCGACUUGGACUAUCUACGUUUUUUCGGUGUAGAUUCAAUUACAGGCAGCGAUGCAGGGCUGAAGUUUGCUUCGAAUGGUUUAAGUUUGCUCAAGACGUGUAGCUGAUUUAUAUGUUGAAUUGCAUGGUUUGAGCUUACCUUAACGCAAAGGAUUUGGAUCCAUCACUAUUGUCUUAAGAGCAUGUUCUUGAACCCUAACUCCCAAUUUCUGUGCUUCUCAGUCAGAAGAGGAUCAAAUAAAGUUCAAAAGUAAAAAAUGUGUUGAUUAUGGUUGUUUCGAUUCUGCUGGUGGUGGUUGGUGUUCGGCACAUUUUCGGAACUCUUUAAAGAAAGCAGACGACUUUUUGAAGGAACAGCACACACAAGCUAUUUCAAGUAUGUUCACCAAGUGUUGACGAAAUUAUGUAGGGAUUAUGAAAUAUGGAGGAUGAAUAUUGUUGAGAAAUGUAAUUAUUAUGUGUCCUUGCUUUUGGAAUAAAUUGCAAUUCAUUGAUUUGUGAAAAUCGGUUCUUGAAGAAACGAAUCAAAAGA